This 431-nucleotide ribosomal RNA is filed under the name uncultured bacterium. Its description in RNAcentral is "bacterial SSU rRNA". It matches the Rfam family "Bacterial small subunit ribosomal RNA", at positions 28 to 452 of the family's 1533-position model. The record is from RNAcentral.
GAUGAACGCUGGCGGCGUGCCUAACACAUGCAAGUCGAACGGACAAAGAUGAAACCUAGUGAUUCUUUGUUAGUGGCGGACGGGUGAGUAACGCGUGGGUAACCUGCCUCACACUGGGGGAUAACAGUUAGAAAUAGCUGCUAAUACCGCAUAAAGCGCACAGAGCUGCAUGGCUCAGUGUGAAAAACUCCGGUGGUGUGAGAUGGACCCGCGUCUGAUUAGCUAGUUGUGGGGUAACGGCCCACCAAGGCGACGAUCAGUAGCCGGUCUGAGAGGAUGAACGGCCACAUUUGGGACUGAGAUACGGCCCAGACUCCUACGGGAGGCAGCAUGGGGAAUAUUGGGCAAAUGGGGGAAACCCUGACCCAGCAACGCCGCGUGAAGGAAGAAGGUCUUCGGGAUCGUAAACUUCUGUUCUUGGUGAAGAGAAG